UACGUAGGGGGCAAGCGUUGUCCGGAAUUAUUGGGCGUAAAGCGCGCGCAGGCGGUCUCUUAAGUCUGAUGUGAAAGCCCACGGCUCAACCGUGGAGGGUCAUUGGGAACUGGGGGACUUGAGUGUAGGAGAGGAAAGUGGAAUUCCACGUGUAGCGGUGAAAUGCGUAGAUAUGUGGAGGAACACCAGUGGCGAAGGCGACUUUCUGGCCUAUAACUGACGCUGAGGCGCGAAAGCGUGGGGAGCAAACAGG
RNAcentral lists this ribosomal RNA (253 nucleotides) under uncultured bacterium. RNAcentral's name for it is "partial 16S ribosomal RNA". It matches the Rfam family "Bacterial small subunit ribosomal RNA", at positions 524 to 776 of the family's 1533-position model. The record is from RNAcentral.